GACGAACGCUGGCGGCGUGCUUAACACAUGCAAGUCGAACGGAAAGGCCCUGCUUUUGUGGGGUGCUCGAGUGGCGAACGGGUGAGUAACACGUGAGUAACCUGCCCUUGACUUUGGGAUAACUUCAGGAAACUGGGGCUAAUACCGGAUAGGAGCUCCUGAUGCAUGGUGGGGGUUGGAAAGUUUCGGCGGUUGGGGAUGGACUCGCGGCUUAUCAGCUUGUUGGUGGGGUAGUGGCUUACCAAGGCUUUGACGGGUAGCCGGCCUGAGAGGGUGAACAGCCACAUUGGUACUGAGAUACGGCGCAGACUCCUACGGUGGGCAGCAGUGGGGAAUAUUGCACAGUGGUCGGAAGCCUAAUACAACAACGCCGCGGUUGGGAUGACGUCUUGCGGGUUGUAAACCGCUUUCGCCUAAUACGAAGCGUUAAUGACGGUAAUGUAUAAAGAAGCACCGGCUAACUACGUG
RNAcentral lists this ribosomal RNA (468 nucleotides) under uncultured bacterium. Its description in RNAcentral is "partial 16S ribosomal RNA". It matches the Rfam family "Bacterial small subunit ribosomal RNA", at positions 28 to 507 of the family's 1533-position model. The record is from RNAcentral.